CAGUCGUACCUUCGGGUAAUCAGCCUUUCGGGUGCGAUUCUGUGGAGUGUGAGGAGCUUAACACCUUCAUGCUUUGCAUAUUUGUGCUCUUGGGUGUACUUGCUCGUGUGGUUGGUUAACAUCAAUUUCGAUUAUCAUAAAAUGAUUGGAGGAAUGUAGCUUCGAUCUCGUAUUGAAGUGUUAUAGCCUUCGGUAGAUAUGAUGAUCGAGAUUGAGGAUUGCAACGGAUACCCUUCGGGGCUACCUGUCUGGUCUCUGAUCGUUGCUUUGGUGCCGAAAGCGUGCUUACGGUUAUCAAAGUCGAUGGUCAAUAGGUUAGAACGGGUUAAA
This 330-nucleotide ribosomal RNA is filed under the name uncultured Glomeromycotina. Its description in RNAcentral is "LSU rRNA". Lineage: Eukaryota; Fungi; Glomeromycota. The record is from RNAcentral.